This is a long non-coding RNA of Meriones unguiculatus (Mongolian gerbil), 943 nucleotides long. RefSeq lists it as uncharacterized. Lineage: Eukaryota; Metazoa; Chordata; Mammalia; Rodentia; Muridae. The record is from RefSeq and is a predicted model, not a curated record. The transcript has 3 exons.
CAGACGGACCCUUACCAAGCCCAUCACUACCGGCGAGAUGGGGUACCUAGACUGGGGGACCGCGCAGGAGCUCAGAGGCCAGAAUCUGACUGGCAGCUUGUUUCACUGUUGAUUCUUCAAGCACCAAUCAGGACGGGCCACCCCUGUAUACUGUGACUGGGGCAGCACCGGGGGAGCUUGGUCUGCUGGUUUCCAUCUUGGCUCUCCACGGGAUAUUCUGGCAGCAUGUUGGGUCCCUUUUUCUCCUGCUUCUCUGGUUGGGGCAGCUGAGUUUGAUUUGCGCACAUGUUCUGCUGUUUGCUGGAGGGCAGUAGACACUGGAGGAGACGGAGGAAUUUAAAGUCUUCCAGAUGCAAGCCAUUAGACCUGCAGGAGAGUAGGUCUGGGGCGAAGUCCAAGAUCCUCCAUUUUUAACAAGCUCCCAAAUGACUCUCCCGCUGCCAAUCUGUAGACCACACUUGGAGCUUCAGCAGAAGACUGGGAAGAGCAACAGAGGGAAGUCACUCAGAGAGCCAGUGUUCUGCGUGAGGCUGCUCUGUAGGAAUGCGGUCUGUAUGGGCCAGGGGCACACAGAGUGUCUUCAGGAGCAGGAAGGACGAGAAAAGACUUCGAAGGUGAGGCCGCUGGCCCCAGAGCUGCAGCCAAGAGCUGCCACCGUCGGGAGAGCCCCGUGCUGUGAACUUCCAGGAACUGCCAAUUGGAGCUGGCACUGAGCUACGACGAGGGAAGAAUCAAGUUAACAGGAUUGCUUAGCUAUUGGAACCCUCUUUGCAUCCUAGCCCAAGCCACACUUGAGAAUAAAGAAACUGGUCGUUUUUAUCACUUGCUGUCUAGAGGAGAGAAUCAGUCUCCCCCUGCACCUCCUGCUGAAAUUCAAAAAAUAUAUUAAUUUCCCAUGAAGUCCUGUCUGGGGCUUAUGUGUUCUUUUAUUUUUUUUCUCCCC